AGAUAACUUAAUGGUACUCAGCUGCAGGUGAACAGGUCUGCAGGUUCUCAGGUGUUUUUACUUGGCAUCCCGGUACAGAUGGUUGAAGACUGGGCUCCCUGGGUCUCCACCUUUUGAUGGGAGUAGUUGCAAAGAAUUUGCAAAAAUCUUUAACACAGCAAGCACUGUGUCAGUUUGAAUCCUUCAAGAAGCCAAGAUGGGAUUAGAUAUGCAAGAGAUUUAUUGAAGGGAAAUAUCUGUGAAGGGUAAAGAGAGAGAGAAGGACUAAUCAGAGAGAGUCUUCAGACCACAAUGAAGAUCUGACAUCUGUGAAAGGAGAGUGGGAAAGGAAUACUGGGUAGUAAAAGACUCAAAUUUCAGGAGGAUCCUGGCAAAGUCUCAGCCCUGAGUAAAAGUUGCCCAUUAGAGGAGUCCCGUGGUGGGCAGAAAUGGACUGGAUCUAAUACCCCCACAGUGCUAAGUCAUUGGCUGGGAGCAUACCAAGAAAAAUGUUGCCUGGUGGAUCCGAAGGGACAACAGCUAAAGUUGUCAAUCAGCUAUGCUUUUCAGAGUAGAUCCUGUUGAACGGCAAGUGGUUGAUCUUUCCUGAGGAGGAAUUCUGCUACCAACUGUGAAGAUGUGAGGAAGUGCCUUGUCGUAGACCAACGCUUCUGGUGAGAACAACUGGAACAGCUGAAUUCAAAUUUUCUUUUUAAGGAUAUCAGAAGCCCUGUCAAGAAGGUAGCUCUGACAAUCCAAAAUCCUGGAGAGAAGAGAAGCUCGUGGAGUUGGACCAACAUUCUAUGCAUUGCUUUUUGCCAGAGGGCAUUUGCUGACUCUUGGGAAGCACACACUGAUGCUGAGAAGACAGGGAGAGGUCAGCUGAGGAGGCUGAGGAGCCAGUGGAGUUUAAAAUCAUCUCAUGGGACUAAGGAGACAAAACCGGAGCUCGAGAGUGCCAAAAUAUCUAAGACUUGAGAUCCCAAGGUUAUGGAUAGAAGGGAGAUGCAAAGAAGGGAGCCUACAAUCCUGCAACAGUUUUCCCCCGGGCCAUUUCCUGCCAUAAACUGCAUAGAGCAAGAGGCUCAGAAGCCAAGAAGAUGAACGCUAUAAAGCUAAGCAGAACUGAGCUUUUAACAGCAAAAAGAGAAGUAAAAAGA
This 1139-nucleotide long non-coding RNA is filed under the name Equus caballus (horse). Its description in RNAcentral is "lncRNA (ENSECAG00000048802.1)". Lineage: Eukaryota; Metazoa; Chordata; Mammalia; Perissodactyla; Equidae. The record is from RNAcentral.